Lotus japonicus is the source of this 562-nucleotide long non-coding RNA. RefSeq lists it as uncharacterized. The transcript has 3 exons. NCBI's taxonomy places the organism in Eukaryota, Viridiplantae, Streptophyta, Magnoliopsida, Fabales, Fabaceae. The record is from RefSeq and is a predicted model, not a curated record.
AGCCUCACUGUGUCACUCUUACCCUAGAGCUCCGUCAUUGCAGUCGUGCUUAGGGAAGUGAAGAAGAUGUUCCAGACACAGAACAAGCUAAACAAUUUACCAAGCAAAGGGCCAGAGGAUUGAGGCAACAAUCAGGAAAUCAUUAAUCUCCGGCAAUCAUUUUCAUAUAUGGAUGGUGGAAAGCAUGAAAAAAAGCAUCUUUGAGUGGAAAUUGGCACCAAGCGGAAGUUGUUUAUGUGUUGGAUUGAUGUAAGGUACGAGAAAGAAACAUAGGGGGGGUAGAGGCAGCAGUGGAACUGGGUUUGUGAUUGAAGGUCCUUUGUGCUCCACUCAAUAGGUUACAAAGAUAGGUUGGAACUAAUGUAUGUGUCCUUAAUAGUAUACAUGUAUUGUCCUAUGCGCUUUAAGUAACACCUGAAGUCCUGAACCAAAACCCCACUACUUUUAUAUCACACCAGACAUUUACUGUAUGGUGUUAAUUAAAUUUACCAUGUUUGAGUGUGUAUGUCUGUGUGAGAUAUACUUUCACAUAUAAUACAACUCUUAAAAAAAUUCAUCCUAA